Molecule: long non-coding RNA, 6873 nt
Filed under: Ananas comosus (pineapple)
Lineage: Eukaryota; Viridiplantae; Streptophyta; Magnoliopsida; Poales; Bromeliaceae
Description: long non-coding RNA (ACOM_LNC029263)
Source: RNAcentral
AUAAAUCCUAGUCAUAUUAGGAUAACAAUUAAUAACCGAUUUGGCCUUAUCUCUAACGCCAUAAGGAUUUUGGAAUCCCUUAUAAAUAUGCGGGCGAUCCCACAUAACGUAAUAUACGGAAAGAACCGAAAAAGAAAGAGAAUAAGAAAAUAAUAGAGAGAAACCACAUCCUCCAUUGACCUAUUAUUCUAGAGGGACUUGCACGGUGGAUUUGCAAUCGCGCUCGUUUGUAGUUCGAUCCACCGCGAGUUCGUGGAGCGUGAGAAGACAUUCAAGGACGAUCCGAGGACACGUGAAUCAAUCUAAACGAUCCGGGCUCAUCGCGUUGUUGCGCGAAUCGCUUCCGCAAAAGGUACGAACCAAUAUUUCCGCUGCGUUGUACAUUGGUAUCAGAGCCUUUUUUGGUUGAUUUCGUGGUCUUGAUACAUCCUUUAACGAGAUUACAUGCAUUAAAUUAAAUCUAUCAUGUUUUAGAUUUUUUCUUGCAUGUAUGUGAUCGUUUAUGGCGUUUUUUUUUUUUUUCAUAAGUGGAUAUCUUUGCAUGAUUUUUACACAUCUUGAAGCACCAAAGUUGUAGAUUAGAUCUAUAAAUUUUGAUUUCAUUUGGUUUUGUAUUUUAUGAGAAAAACGAAACCCUAAAUCGGAACUUUGGGUGACUUAUUUAUGUGUGAUGCAUAUCCCAUUGUGAAACUUGAAUGAUUUGGAAGAACUCCUCACAAGCUUUCUAUCGACAUAUUUCUUGUCUGAAUCGGAUUUCUAAAUCUCAAGUUAUGAAUUUUUGAAGAUUUACAAUCUUAAAAAAAAAAAAAUUCCUGUACGGAAGACCACGCUGCUUGGAGCCGCCUGGGUGCGCACGCAGACCGCGUGCAGGCCGCCGGCCGUGCGGGGGCCGCGCAGCCCAUGCGGGCCGCGCAUGCCGCGCAGGCCGCAGGCUGUGCAGCCCACGCGGGCCACACAGGCCGCAGGCCGCUCCUAGACCGCGCAGCCCACGCGAGCCGCGUAGGGCGCGGGCCGCGCAGCCCACGCUGACCGCGCGCACGCCGCCGGCCGUGCGGGCCAUGCGCCUCGCGGGCCACGCAGGACGCGGGCCGCUCAGCCCCGCGUAGCCCACGCAGGCCGCGAGCCUCGCGCGGUCUGCGCAGCCCACGCGGGCAGCGCCGACUGCGGGCCGCGCAGCCCACGCGGGCCGCGCGGGCCAAUUGCUGGCCGCGCGCGGGGGCUGCGCGCAGGCCUUGCUUGGGCCGGGCCGCGAGCGGGCCUGCGGGCCUGCUGAUUUUUUUUUUCUUUUGUCUCUGCACUUUUUUUUAUUAAAAAUAUAUUUUUAAAAAAAAUGGGGGUGUAUUUGAUGAUUAAUAUGCUUUUGUGAUUCUAUAUGCUUUUAUGAUAUAGAUAAUUAGCAUGCAUUUAAAAUGUGAUAAUGCCUUUUAUGAUGUAUAUAUAGAUGUAACUUUAGGCAUAUGUAUUUUAUGCAUGUCUUAUCUAGAGGGAGUCUUUUGACUUUGGUAGAGUAAAUUAUAUGCUUUUUACUCCCAAUUUUUUGUGCAUCUUAAUUAAAUAAAUUAAAAAUUAUGACAUAUGGUGUGUGAUGUGAUUACGAGCAUAGCAUAAUUUUCCUUUACGCAUGUAUGAUCUAUUUUUUAAUUUAUUUAAUUAGAGAUGCGGCAAAAUUGAAUAUAUGUAUCGUGUACUGAUUUUAAAAUAUACUUUCUGCGCAUUGUAUGAACAAAGUGAGAUUUAAUGGCCUCCAAGCAAAUAGUUGCUGAUUUAAACAAGGGCGAGAAAUUGGAUGGUGACAAUUAUGAUAUUUGGCACCGUAAAAUUCAAUAUGUUCUCGCUGAGCAAGAAGUCCUGGAAAACCUGAGCAAUAAAAUAGACCAACCCACGGAGGGCACUAGUGCCCAGGCUCGCCGAGAUAUGGAAGCCUAUAAUAAUUGGCUUAAAAAGGAUCGCAUUGCUCGCAUCACGUUGCUGAGCAGUAUGCAGAAUAAUCUCUUGUGCGAGUGUGAGUAGUAUCCGACUGCGUAUGACAUGUGGGAGGCUCUCAAAGCAAAAUUUGGUGCAACUUCGGCUACAAGGUUGCGCAGUCUGACUAUGCGGUUUGACAGUUAUAAGAAGCGUGUCGAUCAGACUAUGAAGCAGCACGUUAGAACAAUGUCAAACAUGAUUCGCGAGUUAAAGUCGGCUGGCGGUACCUUGACUGAUGAGCAGCAGAUCCAAGCUACGAUUCGCUCUCUUCCCAAUUCGUGGAAACAUAUGCGAGUAAAUUUGACCCAUAACGAUAAUAUCAAAACUUUUGAGGAUGUUGCACGGCAUUUGGAGUUGGAGGAGGAGCGCCUUGAGGCUGUUAAAACUCCAACUGCCAAUGCUGCUGAGUUAAACUUUCGCAGGACAUCUGGGUUCAAGCGAAAGAGGACUACUGGGGCUCAAAAUCAUAGCGGAUCCGCGCCUAAGAAUGCGAAGAACACUAAAAGAAAGAGAAGCAAACGAGGUGGCAAGAAAGACAAGUCAAAGAUGACUUGUUUCAACUGUAAUCAGCUGGGACACUUCGCUCGUGAUUGCACUAAGCCGAAGAAGGUACAACUCUAUCCCGAUUCUCGCUCUUUUGUUUCUUCUAACACGUUUGUUGCUGAAUCUCUCCCUGUGUGGAUUGUAGACUCAGGAGCAAUAGACCACGUAGCGAGGGAUCGGAUGGGAUUCGUCGAGUAUCGUCGCGUGCCUGCUGGGAGCAGAAGAGUAUACAUGGGGAAUGAUUCAAGUAUCGAUGUGUUAGGCGUUGGCACAUACAAGUUGAUCAUGCAAGGUGGUCAAACUUCAUAUCUACAUGAUGUACUUUAUGCUCCAGGAAUUCGGCGGAACUUGUUUUCUAUUCUUGCUAUGCUAUAGUUAGGCUUUUCUUUUCGUUUUGAGAGUGAUGUAGUUAAGAUUCAUCUUGGAACUAUUUAUUAUGGAAGAGGUUUUAUGUCGAAUGGUUUUAUGGUUUUGGACAUUGAUUAUAAUAUUAAUAAUAGUGAUUCUUUUUCCCUGCUAUCUUCUGUUGAGAAUGAUCACAAUGUUUCAAUUAAAUGGCAUGCACGUCUUGGUCAUAUUGGGCAGGAUAGAAUGACUAGAUUAGUUAGAGACGGGUUAUUGAGCUCGCUCACUAAAGUCGACCUACCCACUUGUGAACAUUGUUUAGCGGGAAAAGCGACCCGAAAACCAUUUAAUAAAGCUUCAAGGGCAGAAUUUCCUUUACAAUUAAUCCAUUCCGACAUUUGUGGCCCAAUGAGUGUGAGGGCAAGACAUGGUGCUUUUUACUUCAUCACAUUUAUAGAUGACCAUACGCGCUUCGGUCAUGUUUAUCUGAUCUCCCAUAAGUCUGAAGCAUUGGAUUGUUUUAGACGUUAUAUUAAUGAGGUUGAGAAUCAGUUAGAUAUGAAAAUUAAAUGCUUAAGAACUGAUCGAGGCCGCGAGUAUCUAUCUGAACAAUUUAAGAAAUUGUGUGAUGAAAAGGGAAUAAUCAGACAGCUGACAAUUCCUGGCACUCCGCAGCAAAAUGGUGUAGCGGAGAGAAGAAAUCGCACCUUGCUUGACAUGGUUAGGUCAAUGAUGGCGCAAGCAAAUUUGCCUGUCUCCUUUUGGGGAGACGCAUUGUUAACUGCUGCCUACAUUCUUAAUCGUGUACCCUCCAAAACAGUACCUUCCACCCCUUAUGAAUUAUGGACAGGCAGGAAACCAAAUUUGGAGCUCCUGCGUCCUUGGGGUUCGGCAGCUUAUGUACACAAUACUUCUCACAAGGAUGGAAAGUUGGGUCCUAGAGGGAGAAAGUGUAUCUUUAUAAGAUACUCUGAACACUCUAAGGGAUACGUGUUCAUCGGAAAGCAGCCUGAUGGAAGUUUGACUGAGAUUGAGUCACGAGAUGUUGAAUUCCUCGAGGAGGAUUUUCCUUAUAGAAGUGAGGUUCGAAAUGAAACUGAGUUCCAUGAGAUGGAUGACUCUGACAUUGGCGCUUCUAUUCGCUCAGUUGAGGCAGAGGAGGCGACUCCGAUACCUCCUGGGGAUAGUGGGAGCGACUUACCUUUAGAUGUGGAGCCUCAACUUCGUAGGAGCGCACGUGUAGGCAUUCCCCGUCGUCGUUUUGAGAUUGAGGGGGAAGCUUUCAUGGUUGCUGCACAUGAUGAUGAUGAGCCUAGAUCCUUCCAAGAGGCUCUCUCAUUACCUACUCAUAAGGAAUGGAUGGAUGCAAUGAUGGAGGAAAUAGAAUCGAUGAAGUCAAAUCAUGUCUGGGACUUGGUUGACUUGCCACAAGGGCGCAAAACAAUUGGGAAUAAAUGGGUUCUCAAGAUUAAGCGCAAGGCAGACGGUUCUAUCGAUAGGUACAAAGCUCGCCUGGUAGCAAAGGGUUUUACCCAACGAGAAGGCGUUGAUUACGAGGAAACCUUUUCGCCUGUCGUGAGGUUUGCUUCGAUCCGCUUAAUCUUGGCCAUUGUCACAUAUUUGGAUUUGGAUCUUUACCAAAUGGACGUUAAAACUGCAUUUCUCAAUGGAGAACUGGAUGAGGAGAUCUAUAUGGAUCAGCCUACUGGCUUCUCUGUAAAGGGUGAGGAGCAUAAAGUUUGUAAGCUCCGACGAUCCAUUUAUGGAUUGAAGCAGUCCUCCAGACAGUGGUAUAUUCGAUUUCAUCGAGCCAUCACUGAAGAUGGGUUUACGAUGAUUGAAGAAGAUCACUGUGUGUAUGUUAAACGGUCCAAAGAAUUUUUUCUUAUCCUUUCUUUAUAUGUGGAUGACAUCUUAUUGGCCGGGAAUAAUAAGGAGAUGAUUGUCGCCACUCAGACGUGGCUGUCCUCUAAUUUUGAAAUGAAGGACAUGGGUGAAGCGAAUUAUGUGCUCGGAGUUAAGAUCCUACGAGAUCGUUCAAAGAAACUUUUAGGUCUGUCUCAAGAGACUUACCUAAGAAAAGUUUUAGAACGAUUUCAGAUGCAAAAUUGCAAACCCAUUGACACUCCUAUUGCUAAAGGUGAGAGUUUGAACCUUAAACAGUGCCCUAAAACUUCUGAAGAGAAGGACAAGAUGAAUCGGAUUCCAUAUGCUAAUGCGGUCGGGAGCCUGAUGUAUGCUAUGAUGUGUACUCGGCCUGAUAUAUGCUAUGCCGUGGGCUUGGUUAGCCAUUUUCAGUCCAAUCUGGGAUUGGACCACUCGAAGGCAGUGGCGCAGAAGAAAAUAAUCCUGGAACACAUAUCUACGAGUCGCGUGGUUGUAGAUUCUCUAACUAAGCCUGUUGUUAGAGAAUUAUUUUUGGGCUCAUGUUAAAGCUCUUGGACUCCGUAGGAUUUGAUUGUGUAGACAGUCGAUUAUUUUUUUGUAAUUUCUUGGUUAUUUAAUUACAAAUUAUUAUUCUGGAAAAGAUAUUUGGUAAAAUUAGUACACGUGCAUUAUUAUUAAACUGAUUGAUAGUAUGUCACAGGCUGAUUGGCCCUCUCACACGGGCAAUCAUUCUUUUCGGCGCUGUAGAGAGCGAGCGAAAAUUGAGGCAUUAAUAGAAGCCGCCUUGGUUGGCACCAAGAUGAGGUCAUUAAUGAGACCGCAUACGAAAAGUCCCACGAUUCGUAUGGCCUGCAUAUUGAGAGCCGGAUGUGAGCUCACCGUUUGACGCUUGAGAUAGCGAGCAAAUGGAGAACUCAGGCUAGACACUCUGGGAGUGACUGAGCUAAGAUCCGUAUGACAUUGAGAAAGACAUACGCUUAUUGGAUUCUCUGUCAUAGCAUGUAUUUCAUACUACAUGUGCUGGGCGACUAAAUAAAGAAGAUGAGUGAAUGGAUCCCUGCUUCCUCAUCGUGUGAGUUCUUACGGACAUUAUUUUGAGACGAUGUCCUAUAUAUGUUAGAUGCCCUUAGUGACUUUUGACUAUGUCAUUAAGUGAAAGAAUUGAUGUUGCUACUUUGGCAUGUUACCUACGGCUAUGAGUGAUGCGGCUUUACGGGGCAUUGCUGGGAAAGCAAUCAGUUCUCAACUCAGUGGCAUGAGGGCUCAAGGAAGACUAGUUGAAUUACAUUAAAACACUUUGACUCAUUGUCGACAGGUUGUAUCGCUUCAGUAUAGCGAAACAAUCAUGAGUAUAGUGUCAUAAUGUGCGCAAUUGCGGUUAGCAUGGCUCUUUGAGGGAUUAGAGAUGCUGAACCUGAUGUAAUUCAAUGGUCUAGGGCAUCACGAGUCUAAUAUUUUUUUCUUUUUGAGGGUUGAUGUCUCUAUGCUGGCCGGAUGCGGUUUCUAGUAUAGAGCUCCCAAAAUGCAGGUUGACUCGGCGGUCGCACUGUUCAUUUUCCUGUAUGAAUAGAAUUAAUAGUGGUGUGAUGUUGAGGAAGUGGUUACGAUGGCAUCGAUCCCGUCAUGUGCGAGUGGGAGAUGUUGGCAUUCGGUUAAAUAGAAUCGGGUACGCCCAUAAGCGGGUUCGAUCCGACGGAUAUUAUGUUAUCUAAUUGGAUUGGAAUUAAUCUCGCUUUCAAAUUGGAAAGUUAGUUAGAGAUAAAUCCUAGUCAUAUUAGGAUAACAAUUAAUAACCGAUUUGGCCUUAUCUCUAACGCCAUAAGGAUUUUGGAAUCCCUUAUAAAUAUGCGGGCGAUCCCACAUAACGUAAUAUACGGAAAGAACCGAAAAAGAAAGAGAAUAAGAAAAUAAUAGAGAGAAACCACAUCCUCCAUUGACCUAUUAUUCUAGAGGGACUUGCACGGUGGAUUUGCGAUCGCGCUCGUUUGUAGUUCGAUCCACCGCGAGUUUGUGGAGCGUGAGAAGACAUUCAAGGACGAUCCGAGGACACGUGAAUCAAUCUAAACGAUCCGGGCUCAUCGCGUUGUUGCACGAAUCGCUUCCGCAAAAGGUACGAACCAUAUUUCCGCUGCG